Molecule: ribosomal RNA, 503 nt
Filed under: uncultured bacterium
Lineage: Bacteria
Description: bacterial SSU rRNA
Rfam family: Bacterial small subunit ribosomal RNA
Source: RNAcentral
GAUGAACGCUGGCGGCGUGGAUUAGGCAUGCAAGUCGAACGGUAUCAUCCUUUCGGGGGUGAGAGAGUGGCGAACUGGUGAGUAACACGUAGGUUAUCUACCCUCAAGACGGGGACAACCCAGGGAAACUUGGGCUAAUACCGGAUGUGAGCAACUUUUAGUUGUUUGAAAGGUGGCGUAAGCUGUCGCUUGGGGAUGAGCCUGCGUCCUAUUAGUUAGUUGGUGAGGUAACGGCUCACCUAGGCAAUGAUAGGUAGGCGGCCUUAACGGGUGGUCGCCCACACUGGGAUUGAGAUACGGCCCAGACUCCUACGGGAGGCAGCAGUCGAGAAUAGUCUACAAUGGUCGGAAGACUGAUAGUGCGACGCCGCGUGAACGAUGAAUCCCUUCGGGGUUAAAGGUUCUUUUAUAUGUGAGCAGUGCUUCUUAUAUUAACAGUAUGGGGAGAGAGAUAUUAGCAUAUGAAUAAGCAACGGCUAACUCCGUGCCAGCAGCCGCGGUAA